Molecule: ribosomal RNA, 786 nt
Filed under: uncultured bacterium
Lineage: Bacteria
Description: bacterial SSU rRNA
Rfam family: Bacterial small subunit ribosomal RNA
Source: RNAcentral
UUAGUGGCGGACGGGUGAGUAACGCGUGGGCAACCUGCCGUAUACAGGGGGAUAACAACUGGAAACAGCUGCUAACACCGCAUAAGCGCACGGUACCGCAUGGUACCGAGUGAAAAUCUCCGGAGGUAUACGAUGGGCCCGCGUCUGAUUAGCCAGUUGGUGGGGUAACGGCCUACCAAAGCGACGAUCAGUAGCCGGCCUGAGAGGGUGGACGGCCACAUUGGGACUGAGACACGGCCCAAACUCCUACGGGAGGCAGCAGUGGGGGAUAUUGCACAAUGGGGGAAACCCUGAUGCAGCGACGCCGCGUGAGUGAAGAAGCAAUUCGUUGCGUAAAGCUCUAUCAGCAGGGAAGAAGAAAUGACGGUACCUGAAUAAGAAGCCCCGGCUAACUACGUGCCAGCAGCCGCGGUAAUACGUAGGGGGCAAGCGUUAUCCGGAUUUACUGGGUGUAAAGGGAGCGUAGACGGCAGUGCAAGUCCGAUGUGAAAACCCGGGGCUCAACCCUGGGAGUGCAUUGGAAACUGUACGGCUGGAGUGCAGGAGAGGUAAGCGGAAUUCCUGGUGUAGCGGUGAAAUGCGUAGAUAUCAGGAGGAACACCAGUGGCGAAGGCGGCUUACUGGACUGUAACUGACGUUGAGGCUCGAAAGCGUGGGGAGCAAACAGGAUUAGAUACCCUGGUAGUCCACGCUGUAAACGAUGAAUACUAGGUGUCGGGGGUUUACGGACGUCCGGUGCCGCAGCAAACGCAGUAAGUAUUCCACCUGGGGAGUACGUUCGCAAGA